UGAAAUGCAUAGAUAUGACGCAGAACUCCGAUUGCGAAGGCAGCUUACCAACACUUUACGGACGCUGAGGCACGAAAGCGUGGGUAUCGAACAGGAUUAGAUACCCUGGUAGUCCACGCAGUAAACGAUGAAUACUAAUUGUUCGGGGGGCAACCCCUGAGUGAUACAGCGAAAGCGUUAAGUAUUCCACCUGGGGAGUACGCCGGCAACGGUGAAACUCAAAGGAAUUGACGGGGGCCCGCACAAGCGGAGGAACAUGUGGUUUAAUUCGAUGAUACGCGAGGAACCUUACCCGGGCUCAAACGUUGGGGGAAUGCUCCUGAAAGGGAGCAGCCAGCAAUGGUCGCCAACGAGGUGCUGCAUGGUUGUCGUCAGCUCGUGCCGUGAGGUGUCGGCUUAAGUGCCAUAACGAGCGCAACCCCUGCGUCCAGUUACCAUCAAGUCAUGUUGGGGACUCUGGACGGACUGCCGGCGCAAGCCGUGAGGAAGGCGGGGAUGACGUCAAAUCAGCACGGCCCUUACGUCCGGGGCGACACACGUGUUACAAUGGCGUGGAACAGCGGGAAGCCACCUGGCGACAGGGAGCGGACCCCUAAAACACGUCUCAGUUCGGAUUGGAGUCUGCAACUCGACUCCAUGAAGCUGGAUUCGCUAGUAAUCGCGCAUCAGCCAUGGCGCGGUGAAUACGUUCCCGGGCCUUGUACACACCGCCCGUCAAGCCAUGGGAGCCGGGNNNNNCUGAAGUACGUAACCGGAAGGAACGUCCAAGGGUAACACUGGUGACUGGGGAUAGGUCGUAACAAGGUAACCA
Molecule: ribosomal RNA, 811 nt
Filed under: uncultured bacterium
Lineage: Bacteria
Description: bacterial SSU rRNA
Rfam family: Bacterial small subunit ribosomal RNA
Source: RNAcentral